UUUUACAGUAAGCUCUGCGAGUGCUCGACCAGAAAUUGUUGAUGCCAUUUUACCUGAGGUGAAGCAACAAGGUCAGAUUGGGUAUCUCAACUGUUCGGUAAUAAACCUGAAUCCGUCAUCAGCAGUAGUAAGUAUACCAAUUUCUUUUUAAUUAAUUAUUUAUUUAUUUAUUUUUAAUUGAUAAAGGUCUAUUAAGACUUGUAUUACUUAUUGAGUAAAUCGAUUAACAGUAGUGCAGACAUGUGUUCAUCCUAAAAUAAACUCACAAAAUAUGGCAAACAUGUUAUAAUUGUUUAUAAACUUCUAAAUUGAUAAAGGUCUAUUAAGACUUGUAUUACUUAUUGAGUAAAUCGAUUAACAGAAGUGCAGACAUGUGUUCAUCCUAAAAUAUACUCACAAAAUAUGGCAAACAUGUUAUAAUUGUUUAUAAACUUCUAAAUUGAUUGAGUGUUGGUGUUUUAACGUCUCUUUUAAGCGCUUCUUUUAAGCGCCAUUUUUUGGGGCUAUUUCGAGGGGUCAGUUUUAAUUGGUGGCGAAAUCACAACAUCAGUGUUGCCUUACUAGUGAUCACAGAACUACUUAGACCACUUGGCCACCGAGGCCCCCUAAACUUCUCGAUAAAAUUAUCUUUAGUUAUAUUUAUUCUACAUAACAGUUCGUGAAAAUAUAACUUCAAAAUAUAUCUCUAUGUAUUACAGCUACAAUGGGUUAAACAAACAACACCAUCAGGAACACCAUUACUAAUAUCAUCCAAUGAAAAGAUCCAUGUUAAUGAUGUAGUUGAAGGUCAUUCGAAAUAUUAUGUAAAAAAAACUGUAUAUAAUAACAAGGAACAGUACCAACUUGUAAUCAGGGCAUUGACUGAAAAUGACGCUGGCUCUUACACAUGUAUGAUCAGACUCGCCAAUCAGAACUAUUUACAAUGGCCGAAAAAGCUUGGUCUUCUAACUGUCCUGAGUGAACAAAUGAGUAAGUAAUUAUAACAAUACGUGCACAUACUGCUAUUUCUGAGU
This 1013-nucleotide long non-coding RNA is filed under the name Mytilus galloprovincialis (Mediterranean mussel). Lineage: Eukaryota; Metazoa; Mollusca; Bivalvia; Mytilida; Mytilidae. The record is from RNAcentral.